RNAcentral lists this ribosomal RNA (479 nucleotides) under Fusarium oxysporum. RNAcentral's name for it is "eukaryotic LSU rRNA". The stretch from base 126 to 279 matches the Rfam family "5.8S ribosomal RNA". The record is from RNAcentral. Lineage: Eukaryota; Fungi; Ascomycota; Sordariomycetes; Hypocreales; Nectriaceae.
CUGUGACAUACCACUUGUUGCCUCGGCGGAUCAGCCCGCUCCCGGUAAAACGGGACGGCCCGCCAGAGGACCCCUAAAACUCUGUUUCUAUAUGUAACUUCUGAGUAAAACCAUAAAUAAAUCAAAACUUUCAACAACGGAUCUCUUGGUUCUGGCAUCGAUGAAGAACGCAGCAAAAUGCGAUAAGUAAUGUGAAUUGCAGAAUUCAGUGAAUCAUCGAAUCUUUGAACGCACAUUGCGCCCGCCAGUAUUCUGGCGGGCAUGCCUGUUCGAGCGUCAUUUCAACCCUCAAGCACAGCUUGGUGUUGGGACUCGCGUUAAUUCGCGUUCCUCAAAUUGAUUGGCGGUCACGUCGAGCUUCCAUAGCGUAGUAGUAAAACCCUCGUUACUGGUAAUCGUCGCGGCCACGCCGUUAAACCCCAACUUCUGAAUGUUGACCUCGGAUCAGGUAGGAAUACCCGCUGAACUUAAGCAUAUCA